GAUGAACGCUGGCGGCGUGCCUAACACAUGCAAGUCGAGCGAACAGACGAGGCGGCUGCUUUCCUCACGUUAGCGGCGGACGGGUGUGUAACACGUGGGUGACCCACCUUUAAGACUGGGAUUAACUAGGGGAACCGGAGCUUAAAACGGCUAAUAUACUCAACCGCAUGGUUUAAUACCGAAGGACGGCUUGGCAGCUGAUUAGACAUGGAUCCGGGCCGCAUUAGCUAGUUUGACAGGUAACGGCUGACCAAGGCGACGAUGCGUAGCAGAUCUGAGAGGGUGACCAGCCACACUGGAACUGAGACACGGUCCAGACUCCUACGGGAGGCAGCAGUAGGGAAUCUUGCGCAAUGGGCGAAAGCCUGAUGGAGCAAUGCCGCGUGAAUGAUGAAGGUCUUCGGCUUGUAAAGUUCUGUUAUAGGGGAGGAAGGAAGGUAAGAUUAACUAUGCACUUCUUGACGGUACCUGAAGAAGAAGCCACGGCUAACUACGUG
Molecule: ribosomal RNA, 497 nt
Filed under: uncultured bacterium
Lineage: Bacteria
Description: partial 16S ribosomal RNA
Rfam family: Bacterial small subunit ribosomal RNA
Source: RNAcentral